This 497-nucleotide ribosomal RNA is filed under the name uncultured bacterium. RNAcentral's name for it is "partial 16S ribosomal RNA". It matches the Rfam family "Bacterial small subunit ribosomal RNA", at positions 28 to 507 of the family's 1533-position model. The record is from RNAcentral.
GAUGAACGCUGGCGGCGUGCCUAAUACAUGCAAGUCGAGCGAACGGACGAGAAGCUUGCUUCUCUGAUGUUAGCGGCGGACGGGUGAGUAACACGUGGAUAACCUACCUAUAAGACUGGGAUAACUUCGGGAAACCGGGGCUAAUACCGGAUAAUAUUUUGAACCGCAUGGUUCAAAAGUGAAAGACGGUCUUACUGUCACUUAUAGAUGGAUCCGCGCUGCAUUAGCUAGUUGGUAAGGUAACGGCUUACCAAGGCAACGAUGCAUAGCCGACCUGAGAGGGUGAUCGGCCACACUGGAACUGAGACACGGUCCAGACUCCUACGGGAGGCAGCAGUAGGGAAUCUUCCGCAAAGGGCGAAAGCCUGACGGAGCAACGCCGCGUGAGUGAUGAAGGUCUUCGGAUCGUAAAACUCUGUUAUUAGGGAAGAACAUAUGUGUAAGUAACUGUGCACAUCUUGACGGUACCUAAUCAGAAAGCCACGGCUAACUACGUG